CAUGAAGUCGGAAUUGCUAGUAAUCGCGGAUCAGCAUGCCGCGGUGAAUACGUUCUCGGGCCUUGUACACACCGCCCGUCACACCAUGGGAGUCGGUAACACCCGAAGUCUGUAGCCUGACGCAAGAGGGCGCAGCCGAAGGUGGGAUUGAUGACUGGGGUGAAGUCGUAACAAGGUAUC
Molecule: ribosomal RNA, 180 nt
Filed under: uncultured bacterium
Lineage: Bacteria
Description: partial 16S ribosomal RNA
Rfam family: Bacterial small subunit ribosomal RNA
Source: RNAcentral